UACGGAGGGUCCGAGUUCUCUCCGGAAUCAUUGGGUUUAAAGGCUCCGCAUGCGGUCCUCUAGGUCAGAGGUGAAAGUUUGCGGCUCAACCGGAAAAUUGCCUUUGAUACUGCUGCUCUUGAGCUGCGGUGAAGUGCCCGGAAUAUGUGGUGUAGCGGCGAGAGGCAUACAUAUCACAUAGAACACCGAUUGCGAGGGCGGGUCACUACACCGCGCACUGACGCUGAUGGACGAAAGCGUGGGGAGCAAACGGGAUUAGAUACCCCGGUAGUCCACGCCGUAAACGAUGGACACUAGCUGUCGGGCUUUCGGGCUCGGCGGCCAAGCGAAAGUGAUAAGUGUCCCACCUGGGGAGUACGUUCGCAAGAAUGAAACUCAAAGGAAUUGACGGGGGCCCGCACAAGCGGUGGAGCAUGUGGUUUAAUUCGAUGAUACGCGAGGAACCUUACCAGGGCUUAAAUGUAGUGGGACAGGCUUAGAGAUAGGCUUUUCUUCGGACUCAUUACAAGGUGCUGCAUGGUUGUCGUCAGCUCCUGCCGUGAGGAGUCAGGGUAACUCCUAUAACGAGCGCAACCCUUACCGGUAGUUCCCAGCGAGUCAAGUCGGGGACUCUAACGGGACUCGCCGGUGCAAACUCGUGAGGAAGGUGGGGAGGACGUCAAAUCAUCACGGGCUCUACGUCAUGGGCUACACACUGUGCUACAAUGGCCGGUACAACGAGCAGCCACUGCGCAAGCAGGAGCGAAUGUAUAAAACCCAUCACAGUUCGGAUCGGGGUGGGCAACCCGACCCCGUGAAACUGGAAUCGCUAGUAAUCGGAUAUCAGCCAUGAUCCGGUGAAUACGUUCCCGGUCCU
RNAcentral lists this ribosomal RNA (856 nucleotides) under uncultured bacterium. RNAcentral's name for it is "SSU rRNA". It matches the Rfam family "Bacterial small subunit ribosomal RNA", at positions 524 to 1381 of the family's 1533-position model. The record is from RNAcentral.